CAAUUUCUGCAGAGGUCAGAUUACAAGAAGACAGGCUUUGAAAGCUUGGAGGAGUUCGGAAAUGACUAUUAAACUCCCUCCUCCCCUCUUACAUUUGUCUGAUUGUUUGGCUUAAGCAGCCAAGAAAGAUGGGUAUGGAGUAUAGAAGAUGUAACAGAAUCCAUUCCAACUUGUAACUUGAGAUUUGGCUGGAUGAGAUAACACCAAAGACAAUUGGAUCAAAGACGGAGAAAUGGGGCUGUAUCAUCAUGUUCCAUAAAAAGGCAAUGGUUUUAAAAAUUGUUGCCACAUUGAGGAAUCAAGGGUUUUGUAGGCCCACAGAGAGACCAACGUUGUGCUGAAUAAUGAUCUUGGUGAUUGAAGAUUCAGCCAGGAGACAGACCUCUUCAGAAAAUCAGUGGAUGUGGUUUGUAUGAAUAAGAGCUGUAUCACCAAUCUCCACCAUCAAUAAACUUUCCUGAUACAGCCAUUUACAAUAGAAGAGGAGAAUUUGGCAACUAUUUCCUGUUGACAGAAGAAAAUAUUCAUAACAGAUGGAAGUAAGGGGAGAAUUUUAUUCAUUUUUGUUUUAGUCAUUUUCUUUAGCUCUAGGCAUUACAUGUAUUCAUUCUAAAUAUACUUUUGAAACGUUGCAUUUGUUAAUUGGUUCCGGCACCUUUUCUGAACACGCACAUCUUUAAUCCUGCAAAGCUGAACAAACUGAAAUAACAACUAUCUAAGGCAUUCGUAUUUAGCAUUUAUACUAUUCCUUAGCGUGCUCAAAGUGCCUUACAUACAUUAGCGUGUAUUGCUCUAUCCUACAAAGUGAGUGUACCCUUGGAAGCAAUAAAACUUAUUAUGUGAACUG
Molecule: long non-coding RNA, 847 nt
Organism: Anolis carolinensis (green anole)
Lineage: Eukaryota; Metazoa; Chordata; Lepidosauria; Squamata; Anolidae
Exons: 2
Source: RefSeq, a predicted model, not a curated record